UGAGCCCAUAUGGGCGUUUUAACAGUUGAUAUGCCAUUUUUCCCCCCCAGCUUAAAAUGAGUACGCCCACGAGAAGAAGUAAAAUAAGCUAGAACCAUUAUUAUACCCCCGACCCCAUUUGAAGGGGCAUUGCGGUUGUAAAAUGGGGGUUUUCAAGGAAUAACGGUGGCGUAGGGGAAAUUGAGACGAGCCAAACAGAGAAAAGAAUAACUCAGCCAUGACCAACAAGGCAGUCAGCCGCAGCGACAAUUUCAGUAGGAUUAUUUCUGCAGUCAGAUUCGAAAUAUCCCGCGCAAUGUGUGUCGGCGCUGUUUUUCUGUUCGGAGUAGCCGCGCCUUGGUGCUGCAGAGGACGCCGAAGUCGGAACUACGCGCGGAGGAACACCAGCCUUCGGAGCGCGCGCGCGCCCGUUGAAGCAGCUUUCAGCGACGGCCAUUCGACCAGCGACGGCACAUUCUUCUACCGUGGUUGAUGUUUCUCACUGCUUUGAACCCCCAAGACUCCACGGACUGCGGCUGCGGUCGUUUCAUUGCCAACUGUGAGGAUGAAGCAGCUUCAUGGCCGGAGAUCGGGCGCCUCCCAUCAGUUUCCCUUUUCAGCAAUAGAGGCCUUGGAGGCCUUCCUACCUGCGUUGCAUCCUGUGGCUGGACCACUCCCACGAUCUCGGCAGAAUCGUUACACAGGAAGAAGUCUGGCUGGCCCCAAGCCUGGUGCAAAAUGAAGAAAUGGCACUCCACAUCAAUUCAUGUUUACUUGUCGUCAUAACCAGUCUGUUAGCUUAAUUUUUGGUUCCUAUUGAAUUCUCAAGAAAGGUACCAACUCUGUCAUUCAAUCUGCGAACAAAUUUUUGCACUUGGGGAUGCAGCCAUGCACAAAGCCUUUGAGCUCAUUAAUAUCUUUAUUUUUUAAAGAAAGUGCAGCUGCUGCGUGGAGCAAUAGGUUGAAUAAGACGAGGGUAAAUGAAAAGAUGGCGAAAUUAGUCAUCAACAGUUGUCCAACAAAGGAAGUCUCAAGCUGGAGGCAACAUCUUUGCAAGAGAACCAAAUGGCUCCAGCCUGAGACAUUCGUUGUUCAACCUGGCAAGUCUCCUUCUCUAAAUAUUUCCUCUAGCCUGAGACCUAUAUCCAUUCCACCACCCUUGACCAACAAUACACCUAUACAUUUGGCAACCCAUGGAAAGGUAGCAAAUUCACAUUCAGGGAAAGUGAAUGUAGUGUGCACCCUGGAAGGUAGCAUGAACAGUAUUUUAUUUACUUAAUGAAAUGCAGAUUUGCUAUCCAAUUACUUUAUUUUGAUCCCCGUUUUAUAAUUGGACAGCAUGGUUCCUCAGAGAGAAUAAUAAUUCGAAGCUCACACAAUUUUGCUCCUUUAUGUCCGUUAAAUCUGUCCUGGUUGCUACACUAUCAGCCCUGUCUGCAAUUGCGUAGCAGUGUUUUGAGCAUGCAUCCAAAUUCAAAAGAAUAGUUAGGCUUCUACCUCAGAAUGUUUGCUACUGUGUUGCAGCUCGAAUUCUAUGUCUAGGUGGUCACUGUGAUGCCAUGUGCUUUUUAAAUAAGACCAAUAUGCUAUUUGAAGGGCAAAUAAAUGCAAUCUCAAAUGACCUCAGCUCGGGGAAUGACACAAUUGGAGGUCAAUAUGAUAAGGAGGAUUUGAUUUCUGAAAACAAGGCACUUAAACGGGAGAAAGCAUGACUAAUUUCGUAUAAAGAUGCUGCUUUUGGAUAUGAUCAGGGAACGUACUUGUUCGUGGCUGCAUUUGCAACAUGUUACAUUGCUGGCUUUAUAUAUUGCACUGGGUACAGUGAAAUGUUGCUGCUUGCACAAUAUUCAACUAAACAUGGUAGCCAUGCUAAUGUGUCCAUGCAGAACACAACUCAUCCACUAUUAUGGACUACAGUGGAAUCUCGAUAAACGAAAAUCGCUUCGAAACUGCCGCUUAAAUAGGACACCAUCCUGAUAAUUGGUUGGCUCUCUGCAAUGUCUCUCAGUAAAUAUAAUGCCUGGUAAAUGGAACCAAUUUCCCUGGCACCUUGAGGCUCCAUUUAAAGAGCACCCACUGUAAAAAUAUAGGGGGGAUCGUGUUUGGAACUUUCGUAAAUGUAGUCUUAAACAAAACCGCAUUUCAGUGGGAGCGAAAUGCAAAAGCACCUGUGUACUUAGACAGGUGCAUGUUAAAGAACCCCAGGUUGUCCAAAUUAAUUCGGGUUACUCGCUAUGGCAUGUGUCAUAAUCAGAAGGUGGGUUCUGGUUCAUAAAAUACAAUAAUUUUUAAUAGCUUGCUCAGAAAUCCAGCACUAAAUUAUGUAGCUUGUUUGUGUGAUGAGUCCCAAUUUCUUAAUUUAGUACUUUGACAUUUAUCAUAUUUGUGUGCUAGUCCAUGCAAAAUACCACUGAUCGGCCUCAUUAUACCAGCCACUGUUAAUUAGGAAUGGCUUAGUCAAGCAACUUAAACUUACAGCACAAACACCUAAGACGAACCACAAAAGGAAGAUACAACACACACUGGUGCUAACUUCUUUAUUUCUUCGUCGUCGAUGCAAUAUAAACCCUAGGCCACACUACCGCGCAGGCACUCAGAUUACAUUACAGAGAUCUGCCAAAUUAUCACAUACGCAAGCGUAGGAAGUCAAAUUCAGAUGGAUGCAGGGACAAAGAUAUCUUACUAAUGCAAUUAUCGCCCUGCCUUUCUUGUGGUAAGCCUCUAAGGCAAGCCGCACAUGCUCAUUCUUGCUUUUGCCAAGAAUCGACGUCCCAUCAAGUUGUGCCUCACAAUUGUUGCAAGAGUUUAUAUGCGCACCAAGGUGCGCUCCUCUAUCUACAUUUUUGUUUACUUGUUGCGCAUGUUCCCUGAGUCGCUCAUUGAUGCAAUGCCAUAUCUAGCCAAGCUAUGUCUUAGCACAUGAGAGUGAAUUGUAUAAACCAUGCCGACCGCGCACAACACGUAUGAAGCAUCAUGCUGAAUUUGGCGUCCUCCUCUGCCCUCUCCGCAGGUGCGGGAGCAUAGCUUUAAAAGCUUGUUCGGUGCAGAAAACGCCAAAGGAACACUAUGCCUGCAAGCAAUUUUCUUGAGUUGAUAGAUGACCUUAUGUGUUUAAGGGACCGCGCAGGGAACAUGCACAAAAAGUAAACAAAAAUGUAGAUAGAAGAGUGCACAUUGUUGCGCAUAUAAACUCUUGCAAAAAUUGUGAGGCACGACUUGAUGGGACGUCGAUUCUUGGCAAAAGCAUGAAUGAGCUUGCGCGGCUUGCCUUAGAGGCCUACGACAUAAAAAGGCAAAAUGAUAAUUGCAUCAGUGACAUAGCUUUGUCCCUGCACCCAUCUGAAUUUGAGUUCCUACGUUGGCAUAUGUGAUAAUUUGGGAGAUCUCUGUAAUGUAAUGUGUGUGCCUGUGCAGUUGUGUGGCCUAGGGCAUAUAUAUGCAUCGACGACGAAGAAAUAAAGGAGUUGUCAGUUAGUGCCAGCGUGUGUCGUGUCUGCCUUUUGCGGUUCGUCUUAGGUGUUUGCUCUGUAAGUUUUAAGUUCAGAAUUAUGUGCCAACUAGGCCAAAUGAAGUUUUACUCUUAGUCAAGCAAGCUCAAUAUAUAGUCUGUGCAAAAGUGUGGAGCGUCAGUACAAAGUAACAGUUCAAACACAUGGCUCUGUAGUUACAGUUCAGUAUGAAACGAGAUAAGAUUUCUUAGCAUUUCUUUCAUUUACUAUACUAAUUUCAUUGUAUUAGGACAUGUAGAAUACUAGCAACUGGCAUGCUUACAAUGUACAGUGCUCUUUUUUAAAAUCCAGACAAUUGUUUUACUGGGGCAGAAAUGUGCUUUCUUUUGGGCCCGGAAGUGAACAUAUUAUAUUUCUUACAUUUGGUGUAAAAUAAAUUUUCUUCACUGUCA
This is a long non-coding RNA of Dermacentor andersoni, 3880 nucleotides long. RefSeq lists it as uncharacterized. NCBI's taxonomy places the organism in Eukaryota, Metazoa, Arthropoda, Arachnida, Ixodida, Ixodidae. The record is from RefSeq and is a predicted model, not a curated record.